This 28-nucleotide ribosomal RNA is filed under the name Alternaria embellisia. RNAcentral's name for it is "partial 28S ribosomal RNA". The record is from RNAcentral. Lineage: Eukaryota; Fungi; Ascomycota; Dothideomycetes; Pleosporales; Pleosporaceae.
GAUACCCGCUGAACUUAAGCAUAUCAAU